Long non-coding RNA from Olea europaea var. sylvestris, 356 nucleotides. RefSeq lists it as uncharacterized. The record is from RefSeq and is a predicted model, not a curated record. NCBI's taxonomy places the organism in Eukaryota, Viridiplantae, Streptophyta, Magnoliopsida, Lamiales, Oleaceae. The transcript is spliced from 2 exons.
CAGAUUAUCAGAUUUGAAUGGCUUUGCCUUGUACAUCGAGAUUACUCUGUACAUGAGAGACCGUCGAUUUUGAGAUACUGGGAAAAGCAUGUUGAAGCGAAAGAGACCAUUUCAUAGUAUGUAAUGUAUAGUUGGGGAACUCAUGUUUAUUAAGUACUUGUCUAAUAUUUGGUGUGUCAUGCACUUCGUAGAAAGGUUGGUAAUUAAUGUAAUGCUUGCAUGUUGACAAGAUGAUGUUGUAGAAGCACUUAGUCGAAUUUUGUUAUAUUUUGUAGUAGUUGUGGUGGUAUUAGAGGAAGUGGUGGUUUCUAAAACUUUUGGUUUAAAUGUCUAUUUGAGAUUUUGAUGAUUUUUCA